GAUCAUGGCUCAGAACGAACGCUGGCGGCAUGCCUAACACAUGCAAGUCGAACGAGACCUUCGGGUCUAGUGGCGCACGGGUGCGUAACGCGUGGGAAUCUGCCCUUGGGUUCGGAAUAACAGCGAGAAAUGACUGCUAAUACCGAAUGAUGUCUUCGGACCAAAGAUUUAUCGCCCAAGGAUGAGCCCGCGUCGGAUUAGCUAGUUGGUGAGGUAAAGGCUCACCAAGGCGACGAUCCGUAGCUGGUCUGAGAGGAUGAUCAGCCACACUGGGACUGAGACACGGCCCAGACUCCUACGGGAGGCAGCAGUGGGGAAUAUUGGACAAUGGGCGAAAGCCUGAUCCAGCAAUGCCGCGUGAGUGAUGAAGGCCUUAGGGUUGUAAAGCUCUUUUACCCGGGAUGAUAAUGACAGUACCGGGAGAAUAAGCCCCGGCUAACUCCGUG
RNAcentral lists this ribosomal RNA (446 nucleotides) under uncultured bacterium. RNAcentral's name for it is "bacterial SSU rRNA". It matches the Rfam family "Bacterial small subunit ribosomal RNA", at positions 15 to 507 of the family's 1533-position model. The record is from RNAcentral.